Molecule: long non-coding RNA, 1726 nt
Filed under: Phaseolus vulgaris (common bean)
Lineage: Eukaryota; Viridiplantae; Streptophyta; Magnoliopsida; Fabales; Fabaceae
Description: long non-coding RNA (PVUL_LNC001388)
Source: RNAcentral
UAUUUCAUCAUAUGCAUUUGAUUUUUGGUUCACCAGAAUGCCAAGAUUUCACCUUAUACUAAUGUUCGGUCUGAAAAUUAAAAAGUCUGAACAAUAACUAUUUCUGUCAAGAUCCAAUUUAUCAUUUGAUUUAGUCACAUGCACAGAAAUAGGAAGAUUUGAAUAAAAAGAAAACAUGAAAUGAUUGCAGAAAUGGGCUCAGGGAGUUAAGUCAAAGAGAGUUCUAGGCGAUCCCAAAUAAGUUAACGCCCCUACGACACUUUGCAGGGACAACAAGCCAAAAAAUUGUAAUUAAACCAAAGCGAGUGACUACAAAAGGCAAGGGAGUUAACCAAAUCUAAACAAACACUUGUGAACAAAAGUUGUUAUAUAAAUAGAAUGCUUAUUGAAGGUUUAUUAAGAGUAUUUAGUAGUGUAUACAUUUGACUUUUGUAUUUGUAACCUACAUAGAGUUCUAAUAAUUAUUUUUAGUCUAUAAAAUAUCUUUGAACUUGGCAUCAAAAAGCUGCAAAACUUACAUUCAAAACCACAUUUUCACUUUGCCAUUCAUUUAACAUCUCCAACAUUUGUUAAAUGUUGGAGAUCAGUGUGAUCAGUGAUCAUUUGUAUAAUAUUAUACAAAUGGGUGAAGUAGAGGUGCUACUUGAGCAUGCCCUUGCAUUGCAGAAACAAGCAGAUAUCACAAACACCAAUACUGAUGAUUAUACUUUACUGUCCAAAACCAUUAUUCCCCAUCCUGCAACUAAAAUAUAGGUUUGUGUUUUGAAUCAAAAUAGUCAGAGUAAGCUUUUGCAGUGACUUUUAAUUUGAGAUACUUGUACCUUUUAUUGUGAUAUCACUUUCUAGCAUUUUAGUUUUACCAGAGACUGUCAUAGAAUCGUUGCAAUGAUCCUCUACUGGUGUAAAAUUGAAAGAAAUGCAGGAAAUUUAAUAAGAACAGAGUAAUGAUAAAACUCCCCUGAUGGAGUCUAUAUGAUUUGCUCUUCCUCUUGUAGAUGCCCUCACUUCCAAACUAACCACUGAUACAUGCAACACAAUCAUAUAGAUGAACUAUGCUACUAAAGAUUUAAUAAAACAUUUGGAGGGUUAGAUGAGUGGGAUGAGAUUCAACCUCAACACAAAAAUUAUUUAUUUGAUAAACCCAUCAUCAAUCUUAUCUAAUAUUGUUAAAAGCUAAAUUUUAAAAGCUCAUCCCCCCUGCCCUGCGAAAUGUGAUUAUGUUGGAACUGGAGACAAUCACAGAAGACAGUGAUAUUGAAGAAGUGGAACUGGAAAUCAUCACAGAAGACAGUGAUAGUGAAGAAAUGUAACGAAUUCACACCUAAUUUAAGCUGAAAUUAAGUUUAGUGUUUUUGAAUCAAAACAGUGACAUCUGCAGAGAUCAAGUUUAAUUGAGAUACCUGUACCUUUUAUUGUGAUCUCUGUUUCUAACAUUAUCAUCUUACCGGAAGCUGUCAUGGCAAUAAUCUGGUACUAGUAUAAAUUUGAAAGAAUUGCCAACAAAAUCAAUAAUGAUAGCACUCCCUUGCUUCAGUCUGUAAUUUUUGCUCUUCUUUUUCUAGGAACCCUCACCACAUAACCAGUCACUGAUAUAUAAAGCAAAAUCAUACAGAUUGCAGCAGAGUGUAGGGAACUCUCUAUAGAUACCAUGAUAAAUUGCUUUUAAGUACGGAUCGGAUAAGCCACCAACAGUAUGUCAAGUAGAGGUGCAACUUGACCAAUUGUG